AAGUUCCGACCUGCACGAAUGGCGUAAUGAUGGCCAGGCUGUCUCCACCCGAGACUCAGUGAAAUUGAACUCGCUGUGAAGAUGCAGUGUACCCGCGGCAAGACGGAAAGACCCCGUGAACCUUUACUAUAGCUUGACACUGAACAUUGAGCCUUGAUGUGUAGGAUAGGUGGGAGGCUUUGAAGCGUGGACGCAGUCUGCGUGGAGCCAACCUUGAAAUACCACCCUUUAAUGUUUGAUGUUCUAACGUUGGCCCCUUACCGGGGUUGCGGACAGUGUCUGGUGGGUAGUUUGACUGGGGCGGUCUCCUCCCAAAGCGUAACGGAGGAGCACGAAGGUUAGCUAAUCCUGGU
Molecule: ribosomal RNA, 353 nt
Filed under: Klebsiella pneumoniae
Lineage: Bacteria; Pseudomonadati; Pseudomonadota; Gammaproteobacteria; Enterobacterales; Enterobacteriaceae
Description: bacterial LSU rRNA
Rfam family: Bacterial large subunit ribosomal RNA
Source: RNAcentral